Daphnia carinata is the source of this 1265-nucleotide long non-coding RNA. RefSeq lists it as uncharacterized. The transcript is spliced from 5 exons. Lineage: Eukaryota; Metazoa; Arthropoda; Branchiopoda; Diplostraca; Daphniidae. The record is from RefSeq and is a predicted model, not a curated record.
ACUAAGCAAGUAUUUGAAUUGCUUAUGAAAAUUUCUAUCUUUUUGUUUUAUAGGGACAAUAAAGCCGUUAUUUAAAAGAGGAUGGAUAGGGGAUGUUUCAUCCUCUGAAUCCUGCUCUUUAAGCAAAAAUGCUUUUUGAUAUCGAAAACCAAAAUUUGGUUUUUGUAAGCUGAAGCAUUACGUGAAAAAAUAAGCAAAAAUGGAUUUUCCGAAAGAAGUGAACAGGUGGCAUCAUAAUACUAGUACUAACUGAAUGAAACAUCCUUUCAUUCAUCACAUCUUGAUGUUUGAGCAAGAAGUUAAUCCAUAUUUUGGUUUUCCCCAACUAACAUCUGCCAUUUGUACCCAUUGUAACAUUGUCACUAACAGAUCUUCACUUCUGGGUUCUUACCAGUGGAGCUGGACACUAUAUUCAAUCAACCAUUUAUUUCAGCUGUUCAGAAGUUUUGAAACAUUACUUUUUCAAGUACUUAGAGGUGGCUACCUGUAACAAAAGAAGAGCCUGUUAUGAUAUAUUUGCAGAAUUGCAAAAGUGCUGUACUAUACUGGCCUGAAGAAUGUGCUCAGCGUUGAGAAAUGAGAACAGAAAAAACGGCUGGCUGUUACUCUGAACGUCAAAUAUACAGAUUCCGGUCGGACGACCGGGUCGUUAAGGCAAAAUCAACGUCAGUCGUCCAGGAUGUUAUCGAAGAGAUUAGUGGAAUGAUCAGCUUAGAUCCGAACAGGAAAUAGAAGAGUAUUCGCUGUAUUACAUGGCUAGAAGAAUAAAUCCAUACGUCACUUAAGUGCGGAAGAAAAAUCUACAAAUCUACAUACUGAUUUUCUGCCUUUCAGUCAGUAACCAUCUAAUGCGUUUGGACAACAGAAGCGUUCUUCUAUCGGACUGUUACUGAUUAUCUCGAAGAUAUAUUGCCCGUUAUGCCCGGUGAGCAACUUCACAGGACUAUAUUGUUAGUUGGUAUCACCUUUACGGAUCCAAAAAGAUUAAGAUCACAUGCCUAUUGUGAAAGAAAUCGUGUCUCUUUUACUGAAACUGGCUCUCCGUUCACAUUACAGUGCGUGUGCCAUUCUGAUACAGAGCUCUUGAAAAGAAGUUAAAGGUUUUGAGUUAAAGACCAAUGUUCAAGUUCUAGAAUUAUUAGAAAAAUAGUCGCCCUUUGGUUAAAGUUUCUUCGACGUCCGAUGCCAUGCAGAUUCUGCCUAGUAAUCUUCAUAUAUUUCAGCGCUUAUCGGAAUGAUUUUCAUUUCCUCGACGUCAUUGCUCU